RNAcentral lists this ribosomal RNA (482 nucleotides) under uncultured bacterium. RNAcentral's name for it is "bacterial SSU rRNA". It matches the Rfam family "Bacterial small subunit ribosomal RNA", at positions 30 to 506 of the family's 1533-position model. The record is from RNAcentral.
UUGAACGCUGGUGGCAUGCCUUACACAUGCAAGUCGAACGGCAGCACAGGGGCAACCCUGGUGGCGAGUGGCGAACGGGUGAGUAAUAUAUCGGAACGUACCCUAGAGUGGGGGAUAACGUAGCGAAAGUUACGCUAAUACCGCAUACGAUCUACGGAUGAAAGUGGGGGCUCGCAAGACCUCAUGCUCAUGGAGCGGCCGAUAUCUGAUUAGCUAGUUAGUGAGGUAAAGGCUCACCAAGGCGACGAUCAGUAGCUGGUCUGAGAGGACGACCAGCCACACUGGGACUGCGACACGGCCCAGACUCCUACGGGAGGCAGCAGUGGGGAAUUUUGGACAAUGGGGGCAACCCUGAUCCAGCAAUGCCGCGUGAGUGAAGAAGGCCUUCGGGUUGUAAAGCUCUUUUGUCAGGGAAGAAACGGUGAAGGCUUAUAUCCUUUGCUAAUGACGGUACCCGAAGAAUAAGCACCGGCUAACUACGU